GUGUCAGCAGCCGCGGUAAUACGAAGGGGGCUAGCGUUGCUCGGAAUUACUGGGCGUAAAGCGCACGUAGGCGGCUUUCUAAGUCGGGGGUGAAAUCCUGGAGCUCAACUCCAGAACUGCCUUCGAUACUGGAAAGCUCGAGUCCGGGAGAGGUGAGUGGAACUGCGAGUGUAGAGGUGAAAUUCGUAGAUAUUCGCAAGAACACCAGUGGCGAAGGCGGCUCACUGGCCCGGUACUGACGCUGAGGUGCGAAAGCGUGGGGAGCAAACAGGAUUAGAAACCCCCGUAGUCC
This 292-nucleotide ribosomal RNA is filed under the name uncultured bacterium. RNAcentral describes it as "partial 16S ribosomal RNA". It matches the Rfam family "Bacterial small subunit ribosomal RNA", at positions 505 to 796 of the family's 1533-position model. The record is from RNAcentral.